RNAcentral lists this ribosomal RNA (519 nucleotides) under uncultured bacterium. RNAcentral describes it as "bacterial SSU rRNA". It matches the Rfam family "Bacterial small subunit ribosomal RNA", at positions 28 to 526 of the family's 1533-position model. The record is from RNAcentral.
GACGAACGCUGGCGGCGUGCCUAAUACAUGCAAGUCGAGCGGAGUUGAUGAGGUGCUUGCACCUCUGAUGCUUAGCGGCGGACGGGUGAGUAACACGUAGGUAACCUGCCCGACAGACCGGGAUAACAUUCGGAAACGAAUGCUAAUACCGGAUACGCGAUUUCCUCGCAUGGGGGAAUCGGGAAAGACGGAGCAAUCUGUCACUGUUGGAUGGACCUGCGGCGCAUUAGCUAGUUGGUGAGGUAACGGCUCACCAAGGCGACGAUGCGUAGCCGACCUGAGAGGGUGAUCGGCCACACUGGGACUGAGACACGGCCCAGACUCCUACGGGAGGCAGCAGUAGGGAAUCUUCCGCAAUGGGCGAAAGCCUGACGGAGCAACGCCGCGUGAGUGAUGAAGGUUUUCGGAUCGUAAAGCUCUGUUGCCAGGGAAGAACGCUUAGGAGAGUAACUGCUCCUGAGGUGACGGUACCUGAGAAGAAAGCCCCGGCUAACUACGUGCCAGCCGCCGCCGUAAUAC